UCGAGAAUCAUUCGCAAUGGGCGAAAGCCUGACGAUGCGACGCUGUGUGAGUGAAGAAGGCCUUCGGGUCGUAAAGCUCUUUCGCCUGGGAACAAGAGAAGCUAGCUAACAUCUAGCUAAUUUGAGGGUACCAGGAUAAGAAGCACCGGCUAACUCCGUGCCAGCAGCUGCGGUAAUACGGAGGGUGCAAGCAUUAAUCGGAUUUAUUGGGCGUAAAGGGCGCGUAGGCGGGAAUGAAAGUCAGAUGUGAAAUCCCAGAGCUCAACUCUGGAACGGCAUUUGAAACUCCAUUUCUUGAGGGUAGGCGGAGAAAAUAGAAUUCCACAAGUAGCGGUGAAAUGCGUAGAUAUGUGGAAGAAUACCGGUGGCGAAGGCGGUUUUCUAGCUUAUUCCUGACGCUGAGGCGCGAAAGCAAGGGGAUCAAACA
Molecule: ribosomal RNA, 427 nt
Filed under: uncultured Candidatus Protochlamydia sp.
Lineage: Bacteria; Pseudomonadati; Chlamydiota; Chlamydiia; Parachlamydiales; Parachlamydiaceae
Description: bacterial SSU rRNA
Rfam family: Bacterial small subunit ribosomal RNA
Source: RNAcentral